GAACGCAGAGCUUUCUCCCUGGCCCUCUGCACCCUCCCUGCCUUUCCAGCCCUUCCACUCUCUCUCACUUUCAGCCUGGGGAAUGGAGGGUACCGGGGUGCUCCAGAGAGGGAGAGAGAACUACGGCUUGCCACACCACUACUGAGAGAAGUUGGCAAGACAUUUUCAAGAGUCCUAAGAACAAGGGUCGUGAUUAGUAAUGCCAAGAUGGAGCGCUAUCGACGCAGCUGUGAGUUCCUGAUCUGGAGAGAAACCUAACUAAUGAAAGGCAAUGGAGGAUGCAGUUUCAAAUCAUUCCCACCUUCCCCACCCCACAAAUCACUUGGACAAGCUCGGAUUUGUCUGCCCAACGGCCCCGGCUGACCUCCGUGCACUGCUGAAAAGGAUUCCUUCGUCCAUUGAGGAAAACCAUUCCCCCCCCAAGACCCCCAUCCUGCAACAGGUAACAAUGAGAAAGCCUGAUAGCCAUCUCCAACUGUAAACCAGGUGUGACAAUUUUACUACUUUUUUCCAAUGGGUAU
Python bivittatus (Burmese python) is the source of this 521-nucleotide non-coding RNA. The record is from RefSeq and is a predicted model, not a curated record. NCBI's taxonomy places the organism in Eukaryota, Metazoa, Chordata, Lepidosauria, Squamata, Pythonidae.